UACGUAGGGGUCGAGCGUUGUCCGGACUUACUGGGCGUAAAGCGUGGGUAGGCGGGUGCUGAUGUGCCGUGUGAAAGCGCCGCGCUUCUCGCGGCGAGGUCGCGGUAGACACAGCACCUAGAGGCACGGAGAGGGGCGUAGAAUUCCCGGUGUAGUGGUGAAAUGCGUAGAUAUCGGGAGGAAUACCAGUGGCGCAAGCGGCGCCCUGGCCGUGACCUGACACUGAGCCACGACGGCGUGGGGAGCAAACGGG
This 253-nucleotide ribosomal RNA is filed under the name uncultured bacterium. RNAcentral's name for it is "partial 16S ribosomal RNA". It matches the Rfam family "Bacterial small subunit ribosomal RNA", at positions 524 to 776 of the family's 1533-position model. The record is from RNAcentral.